AUUGAACGCUGGCGGCAUGCCUUACACAUGCAAGUCGAACGGCAGCACGGGAGCAAUCCUGGUGGCGAGUGGCGAACGGGUGAGUAAUAUAUCGGAACGUGCCCAGUAGUGGGGGAUAACUGCUCGAAAGAGCAGCUAAUACCGCAUACGACCUGAGGGUGAAAGGGGGGGAUCGCAAGACCUCUCGCUAUUGGAGCGGCCGAUAUCAGAUUAGCUAGUUGGUGGGGUAAAGGCCUACCAAGGCAACGAUCUGUAGUUGGUCUGAGAGGACGACCAGCCACACUGGGACUGAGACACGGCCCAGACUCCUACGGGAGGCAGCAGUGGGGAAUUUUGGACAAUGGGCGCAAGCCUGAUCCAGCAAUGCCGCGUGCAGGAAGAA
RNAcentral lists this ribosomal RNA (382 nucleotides) under uncultured bacterium. Its description in RNAcentral is "bacterial SSU rRNA". It matches the Rfam family "Bacterial small subunit ribosomal RNA", at positions 30 to 412 of the family's 1533-position model. The record is from RNAcentral.